This 437-nucleotide ribosomal RNA is filed under the name uncultured Pseudoflavonifractor sp. RNAcentral's name for it is "partial 16S ribosomal RNA". It matches the Rfam family "Bacterial small subunit ribosomal RNA", at positions 341 to 792 of the family's 1533-position model. The record is from RNAcentral. Lineage: Bacteria; Bacillati; Bacillota; Clostridia; Eubacteriales; Oscillospiraceae.
ACGGGAGGCAGCAGUGGGGAAUAUUGGGCAAUGGGCGAAAGCCUGACCCAGCGACGCCGCGUGAAGGAAGAAGGUCUUCGGAUUGUAAACUUCUUUUAUAUGGGACGAAGAACGUGACGAUACCUGGAGAAAAAGCAACGGCUAACUACGUGCCAGCAGCCGCGGUAAUACGUAGGUUGCAAGCGUUGUCCGGAUUUACUGGGUGUAAAGGGCGUGUAGGCGGAGCUGCAAGUCAGAUGUGAAAUCCCGGGGCUCAACCCCGGAACUGCAUUUGAAACUGUAGCCCUUGAGUAUCGGAGAGGCAAGCGGAAUUCCUAGUGUAGCGGUGAAAUGCGUAGAUAUUAGGAGGAACACCAGUGGCGAAGGCGGCUUACUGGACUGUAACUGACGUUGAGGCUCGAAAGCGUGGGGAGCAAACAGGAUUAGAUACCCUGGUA